Molecule: ribosomal RNA, 543 nt
Filed under: Pichia manshurica
Lineage: Eukaryota; Fungi; Ascomycota; Pichiomycetes; Pichiales; Pichiaceae
Description: eukaryotic LSU rRNA
Rfam family: Eukaryotic large subunit ribosomal RNA
Source: RNAcentral
AGCGGAGGAAAAGAAACCAACAGGGAUUGCCCCAGUAGCGGCGAGUGAAGCGGCAAGAGCUCAGAUUUGAAAUCGUGUUUCGGCACGAGUUGUAGAGUGUAGGCGGGAGUCUCUGUGGAGCGCGGUGUCCAAGUCCCUUGGAACAGGGUGCCUGAGAGGGUGAGAGCCCCGUAGGGUGCUGCGCGAAGCUUUUGAGGCCCUGCUGACGAGUCGAGUUGUUUGGGAAUGCAGCUCCAAGCGGGUGGUAAAUUCCAUCUAAGGCUAAAUAUUGGCGAGAGACCGAUAGCGAACAAGUACUGUGAAGGAAAGAUGAAAAGCACUUUGAAAAGAGAGUGAAACAGCACGUGAAAUUGUUGAAAGGGAAGGGUAUUGGGCUCGACAUGGGGGGUGCGCACCGCUGUCUCUUGUAGGCGGCGCUCUGGGCGCCCUCUGGGCCAGCAUCGGUUCCUGCUGCGGGAGAAGGGGCUCCGGAAAGUGGCUCUUCGGAGUGUUAUAGCCGGGGCCAGAUGCCGCGUGUGGGGACCGAGGACUGCGGCUCUUCUC